RNAcentral lists this unclassified non-coding RNA (350 nucleotides) under soil metagenome. RNAcentral describes it as "partial contains 5.8S ribosomal RNA, internal transcribed spacer 2, and large subunit ribosomal RNA". The stretch from base 1 to 120 matches the Rfam family "5.8S ribosomal RNA", at positions 35 to 154 of the family's 154-position model. The record is from RNAcentral.
GAUGAAGAACGUAGCGAAAUGCGAUAAGUAAUGUGAAUUGCAGAAUUCAGUGAAUCAUCGAAUCUUUGAACGCAACUUGCGCUCUCUGGUAUUCCGGAGAGCAUGCCUGUUUGAGUGUCAUGAAAUCUCAACCAUUGGGGUUUCUUAAUGGCUUGGAUUUGGAGGCUGCCAUUCUAAAUGGCUCCUCUUAAAGGAGUUAGCAAGUUUUACUAUUGCUAUCUGGCGUAAUAAGUUUCGCUGGAAUGGUAUUGUGAAGCGUGCUUCUAAUCGUCUUCGGACAAUUACUUUGACUCUGGCCUCAAAUCAGGUAGGACUACCCGCUGAACUUAAGCAUAUCAAUAAGCGGAGGA